Molecule: ribosomal RNA, 253 nt
Filed under: uncultured bacterium
Lineage: Bacteria
Description: partial 16S ribosomal RNA
Rfam family: Bacterial small subunit ribosomal RNA
Source: RNAcentral
UACGUAGGGUGCAAGCGUUGUUCGGAAUCAUUGGGCGUAAAGCGCGUGUAGGCUGUUUAUUAAGUUGGGUGUGAAAUCCCUGGGCUCAACCGAGGAAGUGCAUCCAAAACUAAUAAGCUAGAAGAUGGUAGAGGGUGGUGGAAUUCCAAGUGUAGAGGUGAAAUUCGUAGAUAUUUGGAGGAAUACCGGUGGCGAAGGCGGCCACCUGGACCAUUCUUGACGCUGAGACGCGAAAGCGUGGGUGGCAAACAGG